This 320-nucleotide ribosomal RNA is filed under the name uncultured Actinomycetes bacterium. RNAcentral's name for it is "bacterial SSU rRNA". It matches the Rfam family "Bacterial small subunit ribosomal RNA", at positions 28 to 350 of the family's 1533-position model. The record is from RNAcentral. Lineage: Bacteria; Bacillati; Actinomycetota; Actinomycetes.
GACGAACGCUAGCGGCGCGCUUAACACAUGCAAGUCGAGCGGAAAGGCCCCUUCGGGGGUACUCGAGCGGCGAACGGGUGAGUAACACGUGAGCAACCUGCCCCUGGCUCUGGGAUAACCCCGGGAAACCGGGGCUAAUACCGGAUACCCACACACCAUCGCAUGUCGGUGUGUGAAAAGUUUUUCGGCUGGGGAUGGGCUCGCGGCCUAUCAGCUAGUUGGUGGGGUAACGGCCCACCAAGGCUUCGACGGGUAGCCGGCCUGAGAGGGCGACCGGCCACACUGGGACUGAGAUACGGCCCAGACUCCUACGGGAGGCA